Molecule: ribosomal RNA, 435 nt
Filed under: uncultured bacterium
Lineage: Bacteria
Description: bacterial SSU rRNA
Rfam family: Bacterial small subunit ribosomal RNA
Source: RNAcentral
CCUANGGGAGGCUGCAACUGGGAAUCGUACGCAAUGGACGAAAGUCUGACGUCGCGACGCCGCGUGAGGGAUGAAGGCGUUUUCGUUGUAAACCUCUUUUGCCAUAGUUGAGAGACUAUGGAGAAUAAGCACCGGCUAACUCCGUGCCAGCAGCAGCGGUAAUACGGAGGGUGCAAGCGUUAUCCGGAUUUAUUGGGCGUAAAGCGUUUCGUAGGCUAUAAAAUAAGUCACUUUUCAAAGCCCCCGGCUCAACCGGGGAAAGGGGGGUGAUACUACUUUAUUUGAAUCAUCUAGGGGCUACCGGAACUAUCGGUGUAGGAGUGAAAUCCGUUGAUAUCGAUAGGAACACCGAGGGCGAAGGCAGGUAGCUGGGGAUGUAUUGACGCUGAGGAACGAAAGCUAGGGGAGCGAAAGGGAUUAGAUACCCCANUANUC